GUAGGGAAUAUUGGACAAUGGGCGAAAGCCUGAUCCAGUCAUGUCGCGUGAUAGAUGAAGGCCCUCUGGGUUGUAAAUAUCUUUUAUCUGGGAAGAAACUCCUCUAUUCUUAGAGGCCUGACGGUACCAGAGGAAUAAGCACCGGCUAACUCCGUGCCAGCAGCCGCGGUAAUACGGAGGGUGCAAGCGUUAUCCGGAUUCACUGGGUUUAAAGGGUGCGUAGGCGGGUUGAUAAGUCAGUGGUGAAAGCUCCGGGCUUAACUUGGAAACUGCCAUUGAUACUGUCAGUCUUGAAUGUCGUAGAGGUAAGCGGAAUGUUGCAUGUAGCGGUGAAAUGCUUAGAUAUGUUACAGAACACCAAUUGCGAAGGCAGCUUACUAUGCGAUAAUUGACGCUGAGGCACGAAAGCGUGGGGAGCAAACAGGAUUAGAAACCCUUGUAGUCC
RNAcentral lists this ribosomal RNA (445 nucleotides) under uncultured bacterium. Its description in RNAcentral is "bacterial SSU rRNA". It matches the Rfam family "Bacterial small subunit ribosomal RNA", at positions 354 to 796 of the family's 1533-position model. The record is from RNAcentral.